AUUGAACGCUGGCGGCAUGAUUUACACAUGCAAGUCGAACGGUAACAGGCCGCAAGGUGCUGACGAGUGGCGAACGGGUGAGUAAUGCAUCGGAACGUGCCCAGUCGUGGGGGAUAACUACUCGAAAGAGUAGCUAGUACCGCAUACGAUCUAUGGAUGAAAGCGGGGGACCGUAAGGCCUCGCGCGAUUGGAGCGGCCGAUGUCAGAUUAGGUAGUUGGUGGGGUAAAGGCUCACCAAGCCAACGAUCUGUAGCUGGUCUGAGAGGACGACCAGCCACACUGGGACUGAGACACGGCCCAGACUCCUACGGGAGGCAGCAGUGGGGAAUUUUGGACAAUGGGCGCAAGCCUGAUCCAGCAAUGCCGCGUGCAGGAAGAAGGCCUUCGGGUUGUAAACUGCUUUUGUACGGAACGAAACGGCUCCGGUUAAUACCCGGGGCUAAUGACGGUACCGUAAGAAUAAGCACCGGCUAACUACGU
Molecule: ribosomal RNA, 481 nt
Filed under: uncultured bacterium
Lineage: Bacteria
Description: partial 16S ribosomal RNA
Rfam family: Bacterial small subunit ribosomal RNA
Source: RNAcentral